GGGUUGUGAGGUUAAGCGACUAAGCGUACACGGUGGAUGCCCUGGCAGUCAGAGGCGAUGAAGGACGUGCUAAUCUGCGAAAAGCGCCGGCGAGGUGAUAUGAACCUUUGACCCGGCGAUGUCCGAAUGGGGAAACCCAGUGUGUUCCGACACACUAUCGUUAACUGAAUACAUAGGUUAACGAGGCGAACCGGGGGAACUGAAACAUCUAAGUACCCCGAGGAAAAGAAAUCAACCGAGAUUCCCCCAGUAGCGGCGAGCGAACGGGGAGCAGCCCAGAGUCUGAAUCAGCUUGUGUGUUAGUGGAAGCGUCUGGAAAGUCGCACGGUACAGGGUGACAGUCCCGUACACGAAAGCACACUUGCUGUGAACUCGAAGAGUAGGGCGGGACACGUGGUAUCCUGUCUGAAUAUGGGGGGACCAUCCUCCAAGGCUAAAUACUCCUGACUGACCGAUAGUGAACCAGUACCGUGAGGGAAAGGCGAAAAGAACCCCGGCGAGGGGAGUGAAAAAGAACCUGAAACCGUGUACGUACAAGCAGUGGGAGCACCUUCGUGGUGUGACUGCGUACCUUUUGUAUAAUGGGUCAGCGACUUAUAUUCUGUAGCAAGGUUAACCGUAUAGGGGAGCCGAAGGGAAACCGAGUCUUAACUGGGCGUUAAGUUGCAGGGUAUAGACCCGAAACCCGGUGAUCUAGCCAUGGGCAGGUUGAAGGUUGGGUAACACUAACUGGAGGACCGAACCGACUAAUGUUGAAAAAUUAGCGGAUGACUUGUGGCUGGGGGUGAAAGGCCAAUCAAACCGGGAGAUAGCUGGUUCUCCCCGAAAGCUAUUUAGGUAGCGCCUCGUGAACUCAUCUUCGGGGGUAGAGCACUGUUUCGGCUAGGGGGCCAUCCCGGCUUACCAACCCGAUGCAAACUACGAAUACCGAAGAAUGUUAUCACGGGAGACACACGGCGGGUGCUAACGUCCGUCGUGAAGAGGGAAACAACCCAGACCGCCAGCUAAGGUCCCAAAGUCAUGGUUAAGUGGGAAACGAUGUGGGAAGGCACAGACAGCCAGGAUGUUGGCUUAGAAGCAGCCAUCAUUUAAAGAAAGCGUAAUAGCUCACUGGUCGAGUCGGCCUGCGCGGAAGAUGUAACGGGGCUAAACCAUGCACCGAAGCUGCGGCAGCGACGCUUAUGCGUUGUUGGGUAGGGGAGCGUUCUGUAAGCCGUUGAAGGUGUCCUGUGAGGGAUGCUGGAGGUAUCAGAAGUGCGAAUGCUGACAUAAGUAACGAUAAAGCGGGUGAAAAGCCCGCUCGCCGGAAGACCAAGGGUUCCUGUCCAACGUUAAUCGGGGCAGGGUGAGUCGACCCCUAAGGCGAGGCCGAAAGGCGUAGUCGAUGGGAAACAGGUUAAUAUUCCUGUACUUGGUGUUACUGCGAAGGGGGGACGGAGAAGGCUAUGUUAGCCGGGCGACGGUUGUCCCGGUUUAAGCAUGUAGGCGGAACGAUUAGGUAAAUCCGGUCGUUUAUUAACGCUGAGGUGUGAUGACGAGGCACUACGGUGCUGAAGUAACAAAUGCCCUGCUUCCAGGAAAAGCCUCUAAGCAUCAGGUAACAUCAAAUCGUACCCCAAACCGACACAGGUGGUCAGGUAGAGAAUACCAAGGCGCUUGAGAGAACUCGGGUGAAGGAACUAGGCAAAAUGGUGCCGUAACUUCGGGAGAAGGCACGCUGAUAUGUAGGUGAAGCCCCUGCGGGUGGAGCUGAAAUCAGUCGAAGAUACCAGCUGGCUGCAACUGUUUAUUAAAAACACAGCACUGUGCAAACACGAAAGUGGACGUAUACGGUGUGACGCCUGCCCGGUGCCGGAAGGUUAAUUGAUGGGGUUAGCGGCAACGCGAAGCUCUUGAUCGAAGCCCCGGUAAACGGCGGCCGUAACUAUAACGGUCCUAAGGUAGCGAAAUUCCUUGUCGGGUAAGUUCCGACCUGCACGAAUGGCGUAAUGAUGGCCAGGCUGUCUCCACCCGAGACUCAGUGAAAUUGAACUCGCUGUGAAGAUGCAGUGUACCCGCGGCAAGACGGAAAGACCCCGUGAACCUUUACUAUAGCUUGACACUGAACACUGGUCCUUGAUGUGUAGGAUAGGUGGGAGGCUUUGAAGCGUGGACGCCAGUCUGCGUGGAGCCGCCCUUGAAAUACCACCCUUUAAUGGCUGGUGUUCUAACGUAGACCCGUAAUCCGGGUUGCGGACAGUGUCUGGUGGGUAGUUUGACUGGGGCGGUCUCCUCCCAAAGAGUAACGGAGGAGCACGAAGGUUAGCUAAUCCUGGUCGGACAUCAGGAGGUUAGUGCAAUGGCAUAAGCUAGCUUGACUGCGAGAGUGACGGCUCGAGCAGGUGCGAAAGCAGGUCAUAGUGAUCCGGUGGUUCUGAAUGGAAGGGCCAUCGCUCAACGGAUAAAAGGUACUCCGGGGAUAACAGGCUGAUACCGCCCAAGAGUUCAUAUCGACGGCGGUGUUUGGCACCUCGAUGUCGGCUCAUCACAUCCUGGGGCUGAAGUAGGUCCCAAGGGUAUGGCUGUUCGCCAUUUAAAGUGGUACGCGAGCUGGGUUUAGAACGUCGUGAGACAGUUCGGUCCCUAUCUGCCGUGGGCGCUGGAGAAUUGAGGGGGGCUGCUCCUAGUACGAGAGGACCGGAGUGGACGCAUCACUGGUGUUCGGGUUGUCAUGCCAAUGGCACUGCCCGGUAGCUAAAUGCGGAAAAGAUAAGUGCUGAAAGCAUCUAAGCACGAAACUUGCCCCGAGAUGAGUUCUCCCUGACUCCUUGAGAGUCCUGAAGGAACGUUGAAGACUACGACGUUGAUAGGUCGGGUGUGUAAGCGCAGCGAUGCGUUGAGCUAACCGAUACUAAUGAACCGUGAGGCUUAACCUUACAACGCCGAAGCUGUU
RNAcentral lists this ribosomal RNA (2932 nucleotides) under Mesorhizobium sp. Its description in RNAcentral is "23S ribosomal RNA". It matches the Rfam family "Bacterial large subunit ribosomal RNA". The record is from RNAcentral. Lineage: Bacteria; Pseudomonadati; Pseudomonadota; Alphaproteobacteria; Hyphomicrobiales; Phyllobacteriaceae.